This 651-nucleotide long non-coding RNA is filed under the name Olea europaea subsp. europaea. Lineage: Eukaryota; Viridiplantae; Streptophyta; Magnoliopsida; Lamiales; Oleaceae. The record is from RNAcentral.
CAAUACUGCUGUGCAUUUUUUGUACUUUUCGGACUAAGAAAUCUCAAAUAUAAAUAUCAACAUAAACCAAAAUCAUGCCUGAAGAAUAAACAACUACAAAAAACCAAUCUUAACCUUCAAUGAACAGACUAAGAAAUCCCCAAGAAGCUAUUGAGAUCAAAUACGAAAUCAACAAGGAAGAUAAAGAAACUCAACAGAAAAAUAUUUUUUUAUGAACUAUCUGUGAAAUGUACAAAUUCGCUUUACAGUAUCUAGAAUUCACAAUAACAGAGACGAUACGAAAAAGGGUUUAUGCAGUAGCAUAAUUGUCUACUUACAUGCCCAGUAGCAAGUCAACAAUUUCAGCAAUAAAUGAGUUCACUAAAAUCUUCCUUUUAGUGAAAACAAGAAAGAGAAAAACAACCAGCAGAAAAGGUUUCAAAAAUGGAUAUAAUUAUCGGUGAAAGAGUUGGUGAUGGAGACAAGAGGAGGGAGAGAGAGAGUUUGGUAUGUCGAUGCAUACAUGAAUGGUGAUUUUCCGAUAAACAAUAUUGUGCAAAGAAAAAGAGUGACGGAUGAUUGAAGGCAACGGGAUGGAGAUCGGACUUUACUGUCGGAUCUGCACGGUUGCCGGAUUUGAAUGGCUGCACCACUACUGGAAAUGGAGGCCAG